This 782-nucleotide ribosomal RNA is filed under the name uncultured Bacteroidota bacterium. Its description in RNAcentral is "bacterial SSU rRNA". It matches the Rfam family "Bacterial small subunit ribosomal RNA", at positions 355 to 1135 of the family's 1533-position model. Lineage: Bacteria; Pseudomonadati; Bacteroidota. The record is from RNAcentral.
GNGAGGAUAUUGCGCAAUGGACGAAGUCUGACGCAGCCAUGCCGCGUGCAGGAUGACAGCCCUAUGGGUUGUAAACUGCUUUUCUGCUUUAAGAACCAGCCUUACGUGUAAGGCCUUGACGGUACAGCAGGAAUAAGCAUCGGCUAACUCCGUGCCAGCAGCCGCGGUAAUACGGAGGAUGCAAGCGUUAUCCGGAUUCAUUGGGUUUAAAGCGUGCGCAGGCGGAUGGGUAAGUCAGAGGUGAAAGCCUGCAGCUUAACUGUGGAAUUGCCUUUGAUACUGUCCAUCUUGAGUCCAGCUGAAGUAGGCGGAAUGUAGUAUGUAGCGGUGAAAUGCUUAGAUAUACUACAGAACACCCAUUGCGAAGGCAGCUUACUAAACUGGUACUGACGCUCAGGCACGAAAGCGUGGGGAGCAAACAGGAUUAGAUACCCUGGUAGUCCACGCCGUAAACGUUGAUCACUUCGUUGUUGGCAAUACACCGUCAGCAACCCAGCUAACGCCGUAAGUGAUCCACCUUGGGGAGUACGAUCGCAAGGUUGAAACUCAAAGGAAUUGACGGGGGCCCGCACAAGCGGAGGAGCAUGUGGUUUAAUUCGAUGAUACGCGAGGAACCUUACCUGGGCUUAAAUGUAGUGUGCAUANGCGUGAAAACGCCUUUUCCUUCGGGACCCACUACAAGGUGCUGCANUGGUUGUCGUCAGCUCGUGCCGNGAGGUGUCGGGUUUAAGUCCCAUAACGAGCGCAACCCCUAUCUUUAGUUGCUAACAGAUCAUGCUGAG